CCAGAAACCUGAUAACCGAGUAAAUCACGUUGUCCAGAGUGAUAAAGGGGAGAGAUACGGGGUGGGGGAAGCGGGACAACCAGGGGGACUUACGAGCCAGAUUCUUCUUAUCUGGGGAGGAGAAGAUUCCCACCAGCAUCUUGACUGCGCCUGCCCUUCCCCCACCCGCCCCAAACUGGGGAUGGGAGAGGGGAAAGGGGGUGGGGCCUGAGCCCGAAGCCGACGGCUCUAUCUGUUGGGGGGGAGGGGAAUUGAGGCUACGGCUGCUAAAGACCCCUCUUAACCCGGGUUGCCGGGGUUCUUCCGUCGACUGGACGUCCUUGGGGUGCAGCCCAGGACGUUUAAUCAGAAGGUAGGUGGUAAAAGGGGAGGGAUCAGUGCCCAGAGCACAGAGGGGACCCCUCUAUUAGGUGUUGGGGGGACAGGAGGGGAAUAAACUCAGGUUGCGGCCGCCCGGGCUGAAGAACCCUCCCCCUGCUCGUGUCUCCGGAUCCUCCCACCGCGACGGAGCGUCCCUGGGAGGGCCGCCCGGGCCCGGAGGGGGGAGCCGAGGGCUGGCCAGUGCCAGUCGGCGCCGAGGGCGCGUUCCGUUGCCGCGGCGGGUGGUACAGACUGGCAGACACGCGCUGGCAGCCGCGGGCUGGCAGCCCGUACCCCAAGAGGAGGAGGGGGCAACUGCUGGCGAUUGCCAGCGCUCUGCCUUGGGGGCCGCCCUCUCGCCUGCCCCCAGCCCCGCCUCCCGAACAGGGGCCGCUCUCUCCGCUCCCGGCCGCGCGACUGUCGAGCGCGCACUACCUGGGCGCAGCGGCCCUGGUUUUCUCGUCUGUUCAGUGGGACUUCCGUGACUGUGUCUCAGUUUCUGCGUGGAUGUGUUUGUGUGGAGCAUGAAAAUCUUUGUGUCUGCUUCUUUGCGAGGUACUUCGUCUGAGCCUCAGUUUCCUCGUUUGUAAAUUGGGGUUAAGGGGAGAGCUGCCCAGGGUAUUUUAGCGCGAAGUCACAGUUGGGAGGUAUUAUACUUUAUUGAGGUGUAUGUCCCUCUGCAAGAGUCUAUGAGAGGUGAAUUCCGUCUGCUGCCCUCAGGCUCUAGCCCUGCAAAAUGGGUGGAGUUUUCUCUGCCUUCUCACUGAGGUUUUGCAGCGAAUGAAGGGGGGAGUUCGCAGGGAAAAAACCUCUAUGCAGCGAGGCGCGUAGAUUGUGGGGUUCUGGGUCCCAGAGGGUGGGUGGAGGUUGUGAAAUUGUGGCCUGUGAGACUAGGCAUAAAAUCCUGUCUGUGUGGAGGGGAAUUUGUAUAUAUCUUUCAGUGUCCCCUUGUCAUGUGUGAAUGUACUUCCUUUUUUUAAAAUUUCUUUUUGUGCUUUCUUUUUUAAAAAACUAUUUUUAUUUUUGGCUGUGCUGGGUCUUUGUUGUUGCGUGAGCUUUCCUCUGGUUGCACCCAGUGGGGACCACUCUCUAGUUGCCCAGCUAGGACUUCUUGCGUGGGUUCUUUUGUUGCUCUAGGGCGCUCAGUUUUCAGUAGUUGCGGUGCCUGGGCUCAAUAGUUGUGGCGCACAGGCUCAGUUGCUCUGCGGCCUGUGGGAUCUUCCUGGACCAGGGAUUGAACCCUUGUCUCCUGCACUGGGAGGCGGUGGAUUCUUAUCCACUGGACCACCAGGGAAGACCUGAACCUACCUCCAUGGUUCCCUGAGAGGGUGUAACUCCGAAUUUUGCCCUAGUUUGUGACUAUCUGUGCACAUGUCCUUGUCGAUGUGUCACUGUAUGUGUCCCUUUCUCUGUGUGGCUGUUUCUUUCUGUUUUUGACUAAGAUGCCUCUGAGUAUCCGUGCCUGUGUAUGAAUUAUUAGUGUCCCUUUCAUGUGGGACUCUGUUACCCUGUCCCUUCGUGAUAUGAUUUGUCUCCUUGUGUCGGCCUGUCUCCAUGGACACCCCCUC
RNAcentral lists this long non-coding RNA (1928 nucleotides) under Bos mutus (wild yak). RNAcentral describes it as "lncRNA (ENSBMUG00000004587.1)". Lineage: Eukaryota; Metazoa; Chordata; Mammalia; Artiodactyla; Bovidae. The record is from RNAcentral.